UGACUUUGGUCAAAGUCAAACUGCUUCAAGUUUGACCAAGCUUAUAGAAAAAAUAGUAAUAUUUUUGACCUAACGUAAAUUUAUUAUAAAAAUAUAUUUAAUUAUUAAUUUAAUAAAACUAAUUUGGUAAUAUAAAUAUUACUAUAUUUAUCUAUAAAGUUAGUCAAACUUGAAGCAGUUUGACUUUGACCAAAGUCAA
Molecule: microRNA precursor, 199 nt
Filed under: Oryza nivara
Lineage: Eukaryota; Viridiplantae; Streptophyta; Magnoliopsida; Poales; Poaceae
Also listed under: 1 other name
Description: MIR1435 microRNA precursor family
Rfam family: MIR1435 microRNA precursor family
Source: Rfam by way of RNAcentral